RNAcentral lists this ribosomal RNA (1149 nucleotides) under Triticum aestivum (bread wheat). RNAcentral's name for it is "partial small subunit ribosomal RNA". Lineage: Eukaryota; Viridiplantae; Streptophyta; Magnoliopsida; Poales; Poaceae. The record is from RNAcentral.
AUGGGUGGCUACGGCGACUUGUUCGAGAAGGCCAAGCCUUACAUCGCCAUGAUCUGCCUGCAGUUCGGCUACGCCGGCAUGAACGUCAUCACCAAGGUCUCGCUCAACGGCGGCAUGAGCCACUACGUGCUCGUCGUGUACCGCCACGCCUUCGCCACCGUCUCCAUCGCGCCAUUUGCCCUAAUUUUCGAGAGAAAGGUGAGGCCGAAGAUGACGUGGUCGUCCUUCCUCCAGAUCUUCGUGCUGGCACUUCUCGGGCCUGUGAUCGACCAGAACUUCUACUAUGUGGGUCUCAAGUACACUGGCCCGACCUUCGCAUGCGCCAUGAGCAACAUCCUUCCAGCCAUGACCUUCGUGAUGGCCUUCAUCUUCAGGAUGGAGAAGGUGGACCUGAGAAAGGUGCGGUGCCAGGCGAAGGUGGCCGGGACGGUGGUGACGGUGGCCGGCGCGAUGCUGAUGACGCUCUACAAGGGCCCGCUGAUGCGGAUGGCGUGGACGAGCCACGGACAGGCCCACGGCGGCGAGGCCCCGGCCGUCGAUCCCACGGGCAGGGAGUGGUUCCUCGGCUCGCUCUUCAUCAUCAUCGCCACCCUCGCCUGGGCUUCUCUCUUCAUCCUCCAGGCUCACACCCUGAAGCAGUACUCGGCACCGCUCUCCCUUACCACGCUCAUCUGCUUCGUCGGCACCCUCCAGGCCAUCGUCGUCACCUUGGCCAUGGAGCACCGCCCCUCCGUCUGGACCAUCGGCUUCGACAUGAACCUCCUCGCCGCCGCAUACGCCGGCAUCGUGACGUCGAGCAUAGCAUACUACGUGCAAGGCCUGGUGAUCCAGAAGACCGGGCCGGUUUUCGCGUCGGCCUUCAGCCCGCUGAUGAUGAUCGUGGUGGCCGUGAUGGGCUCCUUCAUCCUCUCCGAGAAGAUAUACCUGGGCGGCGUCCUCGGCUCCGUCCUCAUCGUCAUCGGGCUCUACUCCGUGCUCUGGGGAAAGCACAAGGAGACGCAGGCAGAGUCUGCGGCUCUGCGGGAGGCCAUGGCCUCCAUCAACUCCAAGGGAGACGGAGACGCCGUACACGGGCACGAUCCUGAGUGCGAGAAAGCCAACGGAGCACCCAAGCCAUCCUCCAACGGACACGGAGCUAGUGCAGUCUGA